Ceratotherium simum simum (southern white rhinoceros) is the source of this 103-nucleotide non-coding RNA. The record is from RefSeq and is a predicted model, not a curated record. Lineage: Eukaryota; Metazoa; Chordata; Mammalia; Perissodactyla; Rhinocerotidae.
UUCUCACGCUCCGAUUCAGCAGCCUGGGCAUGGAUCUACGCACCACUAAUCAAGCCAUGCUGUGGCAGGCAUCCCACAUAUAAAAGCAGAGCCAGGACCUACA